GGCUGUAGCUCAGUGGUACAGCACUUGCCUAGCAUGUGCGAGGCACUGGGUUUGAUUCUCAGCACCA
Molecule: transfer RNA, 67 nt
Filed under: Marmota monax (woodchuck)
Lineage: Eukaryota; Metazoa; Chordata; Mammalia; Rodentia; Sciuridae
Description: tRNA.Ala
Source: RNAcentral